AGAGUUUGAGAUCAUGGCUCAGAUUGAACGCUGGCGGCAGGCCUAACACAUGCAAGUCGAACGGUAACAGAAAGUGCUUGCACUUUGCUGACGAGUGGCGGACGGGUGAGUAAUGCUUGGGAAUUUGCCUUGAGGUGGGGGACAACAGUUGGAAACGACUGCUAAUACCGCAUAUAUUGUCUACGGACUAAAGGGGGCUUCGGCUCUCGCCUUUAGAGAAGCCCAAGUGGGAUUAGGUAGUUGGUGAGGUAAAGGCUCACCAAGCCGACGAUCCCUAGCUGGUCUGAGAGGAUGAUCAGCCACACUGGAACUGAGACACGGCCCAGACUCCUACGGGAGGCAGCAGUGGGGAAUAUUGCACAAUGGGCGCAAGCCUGAUGCAGCCAUGCCGCGUGUGUGAAGAAGGCCUUCGGGGGUUGUAAAGCACUUUCAGUCGUGAGGAAGGGUUAGUAGUUAAUACCUGCUAGCUUUGACGUUAGCGACAGAAGAAGCACCGGCUAACUCCGUGCCAGCAGCCGCGGUAAUACGGAGAGUGCGAGCGUUAAUCGGAAUUACUGGGCGUAAAGCGUACGCAGGCGGUUAGUUAAGUCAGAUGUGAAAGCCCCGGGCUCAACCUGGGAACUGCAUUUGAAACUGGCUAACUAGAGUGCGGCAGAGGGUGGUAGAAUUUCAGGUGUAGCGGUGAAAUGCGUAGAGAUCUGAAGGAAUACCGAUGGCGAAGGCAGCCACCUGGGCCGACACUGACGCUCAUGUACGAAAGCGUGGGUAGCAAACAGGAUUAGAUACCCUGGUAGUCCACGCCGUAAACGCCAUGUCUACUAGCAGCUCGCCUCGUUAGAGGGGUUUUGCGCAGCUAACGCGUUAAGUAGACCGCCUGGGGAGUACGGCCGCAAGGUUAAAACUCAAAUGAAUUGACGGGGGCCCGCACAAGCGGUGGAGCAUGUGGUUUAAUUCGAUGCAACGCGAAGAACCUUACCAUCCCUUGACAUCCAGAGAAUUUUCUAGAGAUAGAUUAGUGCCUUCGGGAACUCUGAGACAGGUGCUGCAUGGCUGUCGUCAGCUCGUGUUGUGAAAUGUUGGGUUAAGUCCCGCAACGAGCGCAACCCUUAUAUUCCUUAGUUGCUAGCAGUUAGGCUGAGAACUCUAAGGAGACUGCCGGUGACAAACCGGAGGAAGGUGGGGACGACGUCAAGUCAUCAUGGCCCUUACGGGAUGGGCUACACACGUGCUACAAUGGCAAGUACAAAGGGUUGCAAACUCGCGAGAGUAAGCGGAUCCCAUAAAGCUUGUCGUAGUCCGGAUUGGAGUCUGCAACUCGACUCCAUGAAGUCGGAAUCGCUAGUAAUCGUAGACUUCAGAAUGCUACGGUGAAUACGUUCCCGGGCCUUGUACACA
Molecule: ribosomal RNA, 1395 nt
Filed under: Psychrosphaera saromensis
Lineage: Bacteria; Pseudomonadati; Pseudomonadota; Gammaproteobacteria; Alteromonadales; Pseudoalteromonadaceae
Description: bacterial SSU rRNA
Rfam family: Bacterial small subunit ribosomal RNA
Source: RNAcentral